AUACGGAGGAUCCGAGCGUUAUCCGGAUUUAUUGGGUUUAAAGGGUGCGCAGGCGGCCAUUUAAGUCAGCGGUUAAAUCGUGGGGCUCAACCCCAUUCUGCCGUUGAUACUGGGUGGCUUGAUUGCGGUCGAGGUUGGCGGAAUUCGUUGUGUAGCGGAGAAAUGCAUAGAUAUGACGAAGAACACCGAUUGCGUAGGCAGCUGACCAGACCGCAAAUGACGCUCAUGCACGAAAGUGCGGGGAUCGAACAGGAUUAGAUACCCUGGUAGUCCGCACAGUAAACGAUGAAUACUUGUUUUCGGCGAUAUAAUGUCGGAGGCAAAGCGAAAGCGAUAAGUAUUCCACCUGGGGAGUACGCCGGCAACGGUGAAACUCAAAGGAAUUGACGGGG
RNAcentral lists this ribosomal RNA (392 nucleotides) under uncultured bacterium. RNAcentral describes it as "partial 16S ribosomal RNA". It matches the Rfam family "Bacterial small subunit ribosomal RNA", at positions 523 to 918 of the family's 1533-position model. The record is from RNAcentral.